GAUCAGCCGCCCGUCACCCUCACAACUACACUUAGAUGUCCGCCAGGGUACUACAAGCAUUAGCUUAAAACCCAAAGGACUUGACGGUGUCUCAGACCCCCUAAAGGAGCCUGUUCUAUAACCGAUAACCCCCGUUAAACCUCAUCACUCUUGGUCAUACCAGCCUAUAUACCGCCGUCGCCAGCUUACCCUGUGAAGGCAACAAAAGUAAGCAAAAUGGGCAUAGCCCAGAACGUCAGGUCGAGGUGUAGCGCAUGGAGUGGAAAGAAAUGGGCUACAUUUUCUAUCACAGAAUAUUACGAAUAUGCAUUAUGAAAAAAUGCUUGAAGGAGGAUUUAGUAGUAAAAGGGAAAUAGAGCGUCCCUUUGAACCCGGCUCUGAGACGCGCACACACCGCCCCGUCACCAUCA
This 410-nucleotide ribosomal RNA is filed under the name Garra gotyla gotyla. RNAcentral's name for it is "partial 12S ribosomal RNA". It matches the Rfam family "Bacterial small subunit ribosomal RNA", at positions 830 to 1405 of the family's 1533-position model. Lineage: Eukaryota; Metazoa; Chordata; Actinopteri; Cypriniformes; Cyprinidae. The record is from RNAcentral.